CAAAAUUGAAUAAUUGGGGUUCUUUGAUAUGCCGAAUCUAACUGUCAUGACUGUGUAUGUAGAUUCUUAACUUUUGGUCCCGUUUUCAAAUUGGUCUACAUUAAGGUCCAAAGGGUCCAAAAUUAAACUUAGUUUGAUUUUGACAAAAAAUGAAUCAGUUAGGUUCUUUGAUAUGCUGAAUCUAAAAAUGUACUUAGAUUCUUGAUUAAUGGCCCAG
This 217-nucleotide long non-coding RNA is filed under the name Mytilus galloprovincialis (Mediterranean mussel). Lineage: Eukaryota; Metazoa; Mollusca; Bivalvia; Mytilida; Mytilidae. The record is from RNAcentral.